CUACGGGUCGCUCCAGUGAGGAAUCUUGCGCAAUGGGGGAAACCCUGACGCAGCGACGCCGCGUGGGUGAUGAAGGCCUUCGGGUCGUAAAGCCCUGUCGAGAGGGAAGAAUUGCAUUUAGGUUAAUAGCCUAAUUGUUUGACGGUACCUCCAAAGGAAGCACCGGCUAACCCCGUGCCAGCAGCCGCGGUAAUACGGAGGGUGCAAGCGUUGUUCGGAAUCACUGGGCGUAAAGGGCGUGUAGGCGGCUGAGUAAGUCAGGUGUGAAAUCCCUCGGCUCAACCGAGGAAGUGCAUUUGAUACUGCUCAUCUUGAGUACUGGAGAGGGAGAUGGAAUUCCCGGUGUAGAGGUGAUAUUCGUAGAUAUCGGGAGGAACACCAGUGGCGAAGGCGAUCUCCUGGACAGAUACUGACGCUAAGGCGCGAAAGCGUGGGGAGCAAACAGGAUUAGAUACCCCCGUAGUC
Molecule: ribosomal RNA, 465 nt
Filed under: uncultured bacterium
Lineage: Bacteria
Description: partial 16S ribosomal RNA
Rfam family: Bacterial small subunit ribosomal RNA
Source: RNAcentral